RNAcentral lists this ribosomal RNA (313 nucleotides) under uncultured bacterium. Its description in RNAcentral is "bacterial SSU rRNA". It matches the Rfam family "Bacterial small subunit ribosomal RNA", at positions 30 to 342 of the family's 1533-position model. The record is from RNAcentral.
AUUGAACGCUGGCGGCAUGCCUUACACAUGCAAGUCGAACGGCAGCACGGGAGCAAUCCUGGUGGCGAGUGGCGAACGGGUGAGUAAUAUAUCGGAACGUGCCCAGUCGUGGGGGAUAACGUAGCGAAAGCUACGCUAAUACCGCAUACGAUCUAUGGAUGAAAGCGGGGGAUCGCAAGACCUCGCGCGAUUGGAGCGGCCGAUAUCAGAUUAGGUAGUUGGUGAGGUAAAGGCUCACCAAGCCGACGAUCUGUAGCUGGUCUGAGAGGACGACCAGCCACACUGGGACUGGAGACACGGCCCAGACUCCUAC